CAGCCGCCGCGGUAAUUCGUAGGGUGCGAGCGUUAAUCGGAAUUACUGGGCGUAAAGCGUGCGCAGGCGGAUUGUUAAGCAAGACGUGAAAUCCCCGGGCUUAACCUGGGAAUGGCGUUUUGAACUGGCAGUCUAGAGUGUGUCAGAGGGGGGUAGAAUUCCACGUGUAGCAGUGAAAUGCGUAGAGAUGUGGAGGAAUACCGAUGGCGAAGGCAGCCCCCUGGGAUAACACUGACGCUCAUGUACGAAAGCGUGGGUAGCAAACAGGAUUAGAUACCCUGGUAGUCCACGCCCUAAACGAUGUCAACUGGUUGUUGGGGGAGUGAAAUCCCUUAGUAACGAAGCUAACGCGUGAAGUUGACCGCCUGGGGAGUACGGUCGCAAGAUUAAAACUCAAAGGAAUUGACGGGGACCCGCACAAGCGGUGGAUGAUGUGGAUUAAUUCGAUGCAACGCGAAAAACCUUACCUACCCUUGACAUGUCCAGAAUCCUGCAGAGAUGCGGGAGUGCCCGAAAGGGAAUUGGAACACAGGUGCUGCAUGGCUGUCGUCAGCUCGUGUCGUGAGAUGUUGGGUUAAGUCCCGCAACGAGCGCAACCCUUAUCAUUAGUUGCUACGCAAGGGCACUCUAAUGAGACUGCCGGUGACAAACCGGAGGAAGGUGGGGAUGACGUCAAGUCCUCAUGGCCCUUAUGGGUAGGGCUUCACACGUCAUACAAUGGUCGGUACAGAGGGUUGCCAAGCCGCGAGGUGGAGCCAAUCCCAGAAAGCCGAUCGUAGUCCGGAUUGUUCUCUGCAACUCGAGAGCAUGAAGUCGGAAUCGCUAGUAAUCGCGGAUCAGCAUGUCGCGGUGAAUACGUUCCCGGGUCUUGUACACACCGCCCGU
Molecule: ribosomal RNA, 885 nt
Filed under: uncultured beta proteobacterium
Lineage: Bacteria; Pseudomonadati; Pseudomonadota; Betaproteobacteria
Description: bacterial SSU rRNA
Rfam family: Bacterial small subunit ribosomal RNA
Source: RNAcentral